Cherax quadricarinatus is the source of this 1791-nucleotide non-coding RNA. The record is from RefSeq and is a predicted model, not a curated record. Lineage: Eukaryota; Metazoa; Arthropoda; Malacostraca; Decapoda; Parastacidae.
CCAGACAACUAGUGUCCAGCACGUACCAGACAACUAGUGUCCAGCACACACCAGACAACUAGUGUCCAGCACACACCAGACAACUAGUGUCCAGCACGUACCAGACAACUAGUGUCCAGCACACACCAGACAACUAGUGUCCAGCACACACCAGACAACUAGUGUCCAGCACACACCAGACAACUAGUGUUCAGCACAAACCAGACAACUAGUGGCCAGCACGUACCAGACAACUAGUGUCCAGCACACACCAGACAACUAGUGCCACUAGAGCUAAGCAGGUGGUAUUUAACACCCUGAUCUCACUAACAAACAGGUGAUAUUUAACACUCUGAGCUCACUAACAAACAGAUGAUAUUUAACACCCUGAGCUCACUAACAAAUAGGUGAUAUUUAACACCCUGAUCUCACUAACAAACAGGUGAUAUUUAACACUCUGAGCUCACUAACAAACAGGUGAUAUUUAACAAUCUGAACUCACUAACAAACAGGUGAUAUUUAACACCCUGAGCUCACUAACAAACAGAUGAUAUUUAACACCCUGAGCUCACUAACAAAUAGGUGAUAUUUAACACCCUGAGCUCACUAACAAACAGGUGAUAUUUAACACCCUGAGCUCACUAACAAACAGGUGAUAUUUAACACCCUGAGCUCACUAACAAACAGAUGAUAUUUAACACCCUGAGCUCACUAACAAAUAGGUGAUAUUUAACACCCUGAGCUCACUAACAAACAGGUGAUAUUUAACACCCUGAGCUCACUAACAAACGGGUGAUAUUUAACACCCUGAGCUCACUAACAAACAGGUGAUAUUAUACACCCUGAGCUCACUAACAAAAUCCGUAAUAACUCGCUCCCGUUUAUAGCCAGACUUUAAUAAUCAUCUAACUUCUAUGUAAAGCCUUAAUGUUCUCGUUUUUACAAAAAAUGUAAAGUAUUAACAUUAUUAGUAUUACUAUAAUUAACAUAAUUUUAAUUAAUGUAAUUAAUAUUGAACAGUGACACCAGAUACUCAACAAGCAAAAUAAGGGGUAAUUACCCCAUGUUUACCCAUGCUAAUUGCCAAAUGUUAAUUACCUUAUGUUAAUUACCUCAUGUUAAUUACCCCAUGUUAAUUACCCUAUGUUAAUUACCUCAUGUUAAUUACCACAUAUUAAUUACCCCAUGUUAAUUACCCCAUUUUAAUUUACCCAAUGUUAAUUACCUCAUGUUAAUUACCCCAUGUUAAUUACCCAGUGUUAAUUACCCCAUGUUAAUUACCACUGGGAUAAGGGGACACCCAGAUAACAGAGUUUCAAGCUGAGUCAUAAGAGAUAUGUUCGUUAUAAUGUUUACCUCUGCACACUAUCUUAUACAUAGUGUUUAAUUUAACUUCUUUCGUUUAUUACAAUGUUUAAUGCAACGUAUUUAUUGUGAUACAUUUGUAGUAAAAUUUUAGUUUAACAUUUGUAAAGAAUUUGUAGUAAAUAUUUGUAGUGAAACAUUUGUAGUGAAACAUUUGUAGUGAAACAUUUGUAGUGAAACAUUUGUAGUGAAACAUCUGUAAUAAAACGUCUGUAGUGAAAUGUCUGUAGUAAAACAUCUGUAGUAAAACAUCUGUAGCAAAACAUCUGUAGUUAAACAUCUGUAGCAAAACAUCUGUAGUAAAACAUUUGCAGUAAAACAUCUGUAGUAAAACUUCUGUAGUAAAAUAUUUGUAGUAAAACAUCUGUAGUAAAACAUCUGUAGUAAAACAUCUGUAGUAAAACAUCUGUAGUAAAACGUCUGUAAUAAAACAUCUGUAGAAAAACA